This 253-nucleotide ribosomal RNA is filed under the name uncultured bacterium. Its description in RNAcentral is "partial 16S ribosomal RNA". It matches the Rfam family "Bacterial small subunit ribosomal RNA", at positions 524 to 776 of the family's 1533-position model. The record is from RNAcentral.
UACGUAGGGGGCAAGCGUUGUCCGGAAUCAUUGGGCGUAAAGCGCGCGUAGGCGGCCCGUUAAGUCUGCUGUGAAAGUCCAGGGCUCAACCCUGGAAUGCCGGUGGAUACUGUCGGGCUAGAGUUCGGAAGAGGCAAGUGGAAUUCCUGGUGUAGCGGUGGAAUGCGCAGAUAUCAGGAGGAACACCUAUAGCGAAGGCAGCUUGCUGGGACGACACUGACGCUAAGGCGCGAAAGCGUGGGGAGCGAACAGG